Molecule: long non-coding RNA, 839 nt
Filed under: Marmota monax (woodchuck)
Lineage: Eukaryota; Metazoa; Chordata; Mammalia; Rodentia; Sciuridae
Source: RNAcentral
AUAUUAUUCUUAGUUUUUUCUAAGAGUGCUAUGUAUUGUUAGGCAGUCAUUUCUUAGCCAUAGUUACCUAAUUGGCAAACCUUUUGUGUAACUCAAAAGGGAUCAGAUGUUACUAUAAGAGUUCACCUUCACCUGAGGUAUUUUCUUCUUAGGAUAUCUCCCUGACACACGCCACACCACACAUACACAUACACACAGCAAAGGCUUAACCACCGUCUGCUUGCUCUGUUAGACAUGAAUCAGGAACAGUGCCUCAGACUUUUUCUGUCCUGGUUAUUAAGGAAUGAGCCUAUUAGAUUUUUCUUUAUACUCUCUGCUCUUGGAAAACAAAUAGUAUUCUAAUGACAGGAUUUACUUCUUUUUUUAUUGGGAAUGCUGAGUUAUAGAGAACUAUCCACCCAAUUCAUGCAAACAUUCAUUUGGUAAGUGAAAAUAACUUCAUUUACUUGAGCAUUUUCUUUCUUUAGUAAAAUGCUAUAAAGGUUUAGUCCUAGUCUCUUUAUCAACCAUUGUUAGACUUCUGCUGAUGAGCAGAGAGGAACUUACCAAGUGGUUGUGAUGGUUGACAAAGAAAUUUGACCAUUGCAUGCCGACCAUUCAUCAUGGAAUUUGCUUUCCCUACUUGGUUUAAGUAUGUGCAAUUUCUCUCUCUUUUUUUUUUUUAACCUUUUAUUUAUAAAUAAUUUCAGACUUAGAGAAAAGCUACACAAAUAGUACCACAAACAUUGCAUAACCUUUACCUAAAUUCAUCUAUUGUCUGUUGUGCCUGUUGUUUUAUCAUUUGCACAAUUCCUCCCUUUCCUUCCUUCUCUACACUUUGAACCGCCUGAAGAUGCAUA